GACGAACGCUGGCGGCGUGCUUAACACAUGCAAGUCGAACGGAAAGGCCCUGCUUUUGUGGGGUGCUCGAGUGGCGAACGGGUGAGUAACACGUGAGUAACCUGCCCUUGACUUUGGGAUAACUUCAGGAAACUGGGGCUAAUACCGGAUAGGAGCUCCUGCUGCAUGGUGGGGGUUGGAAAGUUUCGGCGGUUGGGGAUGGACUCGCGGCUUAUCAGCUUGUUGGUGGGGUAGUGGCUUACCAAGGCUUCGACGGGUAGCCGGCCUGAGAGGGUGACCGGCCACAUUGGGAAUGAGAUACGGCCCAGACUCCUACGGGAGGCAGCAGUGGGGAAUAGUGCACGAUGGGCGGAAGCCUGAUGCAGCAACGCCGCGUGCGGGAUGACGGCCUUCGGGUUGUAAACCGCUUUCGCCUGUGACGAAGCGUGAGUGACGGUAAUGGAUAAAGAAGCACCGGCUAACUACGUG
RNAcentral lists this ribosomal RNA (468 nucleotides) under uncultured bacterium. RNAcentral's name for it is "partial 16S ribosomal RNA". It matches the Rfam family "Bacterial small subunit ribosomal RNA", at positions 28 to 507 of the family's 1533-position model. The record is from RNAcentral.